Molecule: ribosomal RNA, 417 nt
Filed under: uncultured bacterium
Lineage: Bacteria
Description: bacterial SSU rRNA
Rfam family: Bacterial small subunit ribosomal RNA
Source: RNAcentral
ACUCCUACGGGAGGCAGCAGUAGGGAAGUCUUCCACAAUGGGCGCAAGCCUGAUGGAGCAACACCGCGUGAGUGAAGAAGGGUUUCGGCUCGUAAAAGCUCUGUUGUUAAAGAAGAACACGUAUGAGAGUAACUGUUCAUACGUUGACGGUAUUUAACCAGAAAGUCACGGCUAACUACGUGCCAGCAGCCGCGGUAAUACGUAGGUGGCAAGCGUUAUCCGGAUUUAUUGGGCGUAAAGAGAGUGCAGGCGGUUUUCUAAGUCUGAUGUGAAAGCCUUCGGCUUAACCGGAGAAGUGCAUCGGAAACUGGAUAACUUGAGUGCAGAAGAGGGUAGUGGAACUCCAUGUGUAGCGGUGGAAUGCGUAGAUAUAUGGAAGAACACCAGUGGCGAAGGCGGCUGUCUGGUCUGUAACUG